This is a long non-coding RNA of Harmonia axyridis, 690 nucleotides long. RefSeq lists it as uncharacterized. The transcript is spliced from 2 exons. The record is from RefSeq and is a predicted model, not a curated record. NCBI's taxonomy places the organism in Eukaryota, Metazoa, Arthropoda, Insecta, Coleoptera, Coccinellidae.
UCAAAUAUCCAUACGAUUUUACUUUAUCAAAAAAUAAUUUUGCUAUACUAUUAAUAUUCGUGAGAAUAUAUGAAAAUCAAAUUAAGCUCGCAAUGAUUUUUAUUCUCACAGGCGAUCAAAUAAUAGAAUAGAUAAGAUAAAGUUAAGUAUAAAGUUCUAUGUUUCGUUGUCACUUAGGUAUCUUCCUCUGUCAUUCAGUUUUCUUGAGUUCUUUGACUGUUACCACGUUUUCGAGUUGUGAUACUUGGUUACAAAAGGUACCAUCAUGGGUCGUGUACGUACUAAAACCGUGAAAAAAGCUUCCAAAGUGAUUAUUGAGAAGUAUUACACUAGGCUUACACUUGAUUUUCAUACCAACAAGCGCAUAUGCGAGGAAGUAGCAUCUAUACCAACCAAACCUCUGAGGAACAAAAUUGCUGGAUUUGUAACUCAUCUUAUGAAGAGGCUUCGUCAUUCUCAAGUUCGAGGAAUCUCUAUAAAGUUGCAGGAAGAGGAACGUGAGAGGCGUGACAACUUUGUACCUCCAAUUUCUGCUCUUGAAAAUGAUAUCAUUGAAGUAGACCCUGAUACUAAAGAGAUGCUCAGGCAAUUAGAUUUCACAAAUUUACCAGGGUUACAACUUACCCAGCCCAAUACAAAUAAUUAUAACAGAAGAGUGUAAGAAUGUUUAAUUAAACAAGUUGAAAAUUU